This 496-nucleotide ribosomal RNA is filed under the name uncultured bacterium. Its description in RNAcentral is "partial 16S ribosomal RNA". It matches the Rfam family "Bacterial small subunit ribosomal RNA", at positions 29 to 507 of the family's 1533-position model. The record is from RNAcentral.
AUGAACGCUGGCGGCGUGCCUAAUACAUGUAAGUCGAGCGAACAGAUGAGGAGCUUGCUCCUCUGACGUUAGCGGCGGACGGGUGAGUAACACGUGGAUAACCUACCUAUAAGACUGGGAUAACUUCGGGAAACCGGAGCUAAUACCGGAUAAUAUAUUGAACCGCAUGGUUCAAUAGUGAAAGACGGUUUUGCUGUCACUUAUAGAUGGAUCCGCGCCGCAUUAGCUAGUUGGUAAGGUAACGGCUUACCAAGGCAACGAUGCGUAGCCGACCUGAGAGGGUGAUCGGCCACACUGGAACUGAGACACGGUCCAGACUCCUACGGGAGGCAGCAGUAGGGAAUCUUCCGCAAUGGGCGAAAGCCUGACGGAGCAACGCCGCGUGAGUGAUGAAGGUCUUCGGAUCGUAAAACUCUGUUAUUAGGGAAGAACAAAUGUGUAAGUAACUAUGCACGUCUUGACGGUACCUAAUCAGAAAGCCACGGCUAACUACGUG